CCUACGGGAGGCAGCAGUGGGGGAUAUUGCACAAUGGGGGAAACCCUGAUGCAGCGACGCCGCGUGUGGGAAGACGGUCCUCUGGAUUGUAAACCACUGUCCCCAGGGACGAAGAGGACGGUACCUGGGGAGGAAGCUCCGGCUAACUACGGGCCAGCAGCCGCGGUAAUACGUAGGGGGCAAGCGUUAUCCGGAUUUACGGGGUGUAAAGGGAGCGUAGGCGGUUUAGCAAGUCAGAAGUGAAAGCCCGGGGCUCAACUCCGGGACUGCUUUUGAAACUGUUGAACUGGAUUGCAGGGGGGGUAAGUGGAAUUCCUAGUGUAGCGGUGAAAUGCGUAGAUAUUAGGAGGAACCCCAGUGGCGAAGGCGGCUUACUGGACUGUAAAUGACGCUGAGGCUCGAAAGCGUGGGGAGCAAACAGGAUUAGAUACCCAAGUAGU
RNAcentral lists this ribosomal RNA (440 nucleotides) under uncultured bacterium. RNAcentral describes it as "partial 16S ribosomal RNA". It matches the Rfam family "Bacterial small subunit ribosomal RNA", at positions 338 to 794 of the family's 1533-position model. The record is from RNAcentral.